Molecule: non-coding RNA, 60 nt
Filed under: Spodoptera frugiperda (fall armyworm)
Lineage: Eukaryota; Metazoa; Arthropoda; Insecta; Lepidoptera; Noctuidae
Source: RNAcentral
GGGCCUGAAUUGUUGCUCGAACCUGUGUUUUGAUCAAGGUGAGCAAACUUUCAGGUGUGU